This 549-nucleotide ribosomal RNA is filed under the name uncultured Glomeromycotina. RNAcentral's name for it is "SSU rRNA". It matches the Rfam family "Eukaryotic small subunit ribosomal RNA", at positions 548 to 1098 of the family's 1831-position model. The record is from RNAcentral. Lineage: Eukaryota; Fungi; Glomeromycota.
UUGGAGGGCAAGUCUGGUGCCAGCAGCCGCGGUAAUUCCAGCUCCAAUAGCGUAUAUUAAAGUUGUUGCAGUUAAAAAGCUCGUAGUUGAAUUUCGGGGUUAGUAGGCUGGUCAUGCCACCGGUAUGUACUGGUCUUUCUGAUUCCUCCUUCCUGAUGAACUGUAAUGCCAUUAAUUUGGUGUUGCAGGGAAUCUGGACUGUUACUUUGAAAAAAUUAGAGUGUUUAAAGCAGGCUAACGCUUGAAUACAUUAGCAUGGAAUAAUGAAAUAGGACGUUCGAUCCUAUUUUGUUGGUUUCUAGGAUUGACGUAAUGAUUAAUAGGGAUAGUUGGGGGCAUUAGUAUUCAAUUGUCAGAGGUGAAAUUCUUGGAUUUAUUGAAGACUAACUACUGCGAAAGCAUUUGCCAAGGAUGUUUUCAUUAAUCAAGAACGAAAGUUAGGGGAUCGAAGACGAUCGGAUACCGUCGUAGUCUUAACCAUAAACUAUGCCGACUAGGGAUCGGAUGAUGUUAAUUUUUUAAUGACUCAUUCGGCGCCUUACGGGAAAC